This 1506-nucleotide ribosomal RNA is filed under the name metagenome. RNAcentral's name for it is "bacterial SSU rRNA". It matches the Rfam family "Bacterial small subunit ribosomal RNA". The record is from RNAcentral.
AGAGUUUGAUCCUGGCUCAGGACGAACGCUGGCGGCGUGCCUAAUACAUGCAAGUAGAACGCUGAAGAGAGGAGCUUGCUCUUCUUGGAUGAGUUGCGAACGGGUGAGUAACGCGUAGGUAACCUGCCUUGUAGCGGGGGAUAACUAUUGGAAACGAUAGCUAAUACCGCAUAACAAUGGAUGACACAUGUCAUUUAUUUGAAAGGGGCAAUUGUUCCACUACAAGAUGGACCUGCGUUGUAUUAGCUGGUAGGUGAGGUAAUGGCUCACCUAGGCGACGAUACAUAGCCGACCUGAGAGGGUGAUCGGCCACACUGGGACUGAGACACGGCCCAGACUCCUACGGGAGGCAGCAGUAGGGAAUCUUCGGCAAUGGGGGCAACCCUGACCGAGCAACGCCGCGUGAGUGAAGAAGGUUUUCGGAUCGUAAAGCUCUGUUGUAAGUCAAGAACGGGUGUGAGAGUGGAAAGUUCACACUGUGACGGUAGCUUACCAGAAAGGGACGGCUAACUACGUGCCAGCAGCCGCGGUAAUACGUAGGUCCCGAGCGUUGUCCGGAUUUAUUGGGCGUAAAGCGAGCGCAGGCGGUUUGAUAAGUCUGAAGUUAAAGGCUGUGGCUCAACCAUAGUUCGCUUUGGAAACUGUCAAACUUGAGUGCAGAAGGGGAGAGUGGAAUUCCAUGUGUAGCGGUGAAAUGCGUAGAUAUAUGGAGGAACACCGGUGGCGAAAGCGGCUCUCUGGUCUGUAACUGACGCUGAGGCUCGAAAGCGUGGGGAGCGAACAGGAUUAGAUACCCUGGUAGUCCACGCCGUAAACGAUGAGUGCUAGGUGUUGGAUCCUUUCCGGGAUUCAGUGCCGCAGCUAACGCAUUAAGCACUCCGCCUGGGGAGUACGACCGCAAGGUUGAAACUCAAAGGAAUUGACGGGGGCCCGCACAAGCGGUGGAGCAUGUGGUUUAAUUCGAAGCAACGCGAAGAACCUUACCAGGUCUUGACAUCCCGAUGCUAUUUCUAGAGAUAGAAAGUUACUUCGGUACAUCGGUGACAGGUGGUGCAUGGUUGUCGUCAGCUCGUGUCGUGAGAUGUUGGGUUAAGUCCCGCAACGAGCGCAACCCCUAUUGUUAGUUGCCAUCAUUCAGUUGGGCACUCUAGCGAGACUGCCGGUAAUAAACCGGAGGAAGGUGGGGAUGACGUCAAAUCAUCAUGCCCCUUAUGACCUGGGCUACACACGUGCUACAAUGGUUGGUACAACGAGUUGCGAGUCGGUGACGGCGAGCUAAUCUCUUAAAGCCAAUCUCAGUUCGGAUUGUAGGCUGCAACUCGCCUACAUGAAGUCGGAAUCGCUAGUAAUCGCGGAUCAGCACGCCGCGGUGAAUACGUUCCCGGGCCUUGUACACACCGCCCGUCACACCACGAGAGUUUGUAACACCCGAAGUCGGUGAGGUAACCUUUUGGAGCCAGCCGCCUAAGGUGGGACAGAUGAUUGGGGUGAAGUCGUAACAGGGUA